RNAcentral lists this ribosomal RNA (1522 nucleotides) under Salmonella enterica subsp. enterica serovar Chester. Its description in RNAcentral is "bacterial SSU rRNA". It matches the Rfam family "Bacterial small subunit ribosomal RNA". RNAcentral also lists the same sequence under 1 other name. The record is from RNAcentral. Lineage: Bacteria; Pseudomonadati; Pseudomonadota; Gammaproteobacteria; Enterobacterales; Enterobacteriaceae.
AGAGUUUGAUCAUGGCUCAGAUUGAACGCUGGCGGCAGGCCUAACACAUGCAAGUCGAACGGUAACAGGAAGCAGCUUGCUGCUUUGCUGACGAGUGGCGGACGGGUGAGUAAUGUCUGGGAAACUGCCUGAUGGAGGGGGAUAACUACUGGAAACGGUGGCUAAUACCGCAUAACGUCGCAAGACCAAAGAGGGGGACCUUCGGGCCUCUUGCCAUCAGAUGUGCCCAGAUGGGAUUAGCUUGUUGGUGAGGUAACGGCUCACCAAGGCGACGAUCCCUAGCUGGUCUGAGAGGAUGACCAGCCACACUGGAACUGAGACACGGUCCAGACUCCUACGGGAGGCAGCAGUGGGGAAUAUUGCACAAUGGGCGCAAGCCUGAUGCAGCCAUGCCGCGUGUAUGAAGAAGGCCUUCGGGUUGUAAAGUACUUUCAGCGGGGAGGAAGGUGUUGUGGUUAAUAACCACAGCAAUUGACGUUACCCGCAGAAGAAGCACCGGCUAACUCCGUGCCAGCAGCCGCGGUAAUACGGAGGGUGCAAGCGUUAAUCGGAAUUACUGGGCGUAAAGCGCACGCAGGCGGUCUGUCAAGUCGGAUGUGAAAUCCCCGGGCUCAACCUGGGAACUGCAUUCGAAACUGGCAGGCUUGAGUCUUGUAGAGGGGGGUAGAAUUCCAGGUGUAGCGGUGAAAUGCGUAGAGAUCUGGAGGAAUACCGGUGGCGAAGGCGGCCCCCUGGACAAAGACUGACGCUCAGGUGCGAAAGCGUGGGGAGCAAACAGGAUUAGAUACCCUGGUAGUCCACGCCGUAAACGAUGUCUACUUGGAGGUUGUGCCCUUGAGGCGUGGCUUCCGGAGCUAACGCGUUAAGUAGACCGCCUGGGGAGUACGGCCGCAAGGUUAAAACUCAAAUGAAUUGACGGGGGCCCGCACAAGCGGUGGAGCAUGUGGUUUAAUUCGAUGCAACGCGAAGAACCUUACCUGGUCUUGACAUCCACAGAACUUUCCAGAGAUGAGAUUGUGCCUUCGGGAACUGUGAGACAGGUGCUGCAUGGCUGUCGUCAGCUCGUGUUGUGAAAUGUUGGGUUAAGUCCCGCAACGAGCGCAACCCUUAUCCUUUGUUGCCAGCGGUCCGGCCGGGAACUCAAAGGAGACUGCCAGUGAUAAACUGGAGGAAGGUGGGGAUGACGUCAAGUCAUCAUGGCCCUUACGACCAGGGCUACACACGUGCUACAAUGGCGCAUACAAAGAGAAGCGACCUCGCGAGAGCAAGCGGACCUCAUAAAGUGCGUCGUAGUCCGGAUUGGAGUCUGCAACUCGACUCCAUGAAGUCGGAAUCGCUAGUAAUCGUGGAUCAGAAUGCCACGGUGAAUACGUUCCCGGGCCUUGUACACACCGCCCGUCACACCAUGGGAGUGGGUUGCAAAAGAAGUAGGUAGCUUAACCUUCGGGAGGGCGCUUACCACUUUGUGAUUCAUGACUGGGGUGAAGUCGUAACAAGGUAACCGUAGGGGAACCUGCGGUUG